RNAcentral lists this long non-coding RNA (402 nucleotides) under Mytilus galloprovincialis (Mediterranean mussel). The record is from RNAcentral. Lineage: Eukaryota; Metazoa; Mollusca; Bivalvia; Mytilida; Mytilidae.
GUUGGCUUGAACCCUUUAUCGUGAUUAUUUUUUAACUGAAUUUACCGUGAACAUGACAAUCACGCAGCUUAUCAUCUGUAUGUGUCCUCAUUGUGAACCGUUCUCAUGUGUCUCUGUAAACUAAGAAGCUGACUAAACCCUAUACCACAUACACCCCAGUCACGAGGUUUAUCGCCUGUAUGUAUUCUCAUGUGAAUCUGUAAACUGUAAAUUACUAUGUAUGUAUUCUCAUGUGAAUCUGUAAACUGUAAAUUACUAUGCAUGUAUUCUCAUGUGAAUCUGUACACUAAUAUGUAUGCAUUUUCAUGUGUCGCUGUAAAGAAGCAUGUUGAAUAAAUCCUUUACCACAUACAUCACAGUGAUGAGGUUUAUCUCCAGUAUGUAUUCUCGUGUGUCUUCUUA